This 147-nucleotide ribosomal RNA is filed under the name Muribaculaceae bacterium. RNAcentral's name for it is "partial 16S ribosomal RNA". It matches the Rfam family "Bacterial small subunit ribosomal RNA", at positions 1 to 136 of the family's 1533-position model. The record is from RNAcentral. Lineage: Bacteria; Pseudomonadati; Bacteroidota; Bacteroidia; Bacteroidales; Muribaculaceae.
ACAACGAAGAGUUUGAUCCUGGCUCAGGAUGAACGCUAGCGACAGGCUUAACACAUGCAAGUCGAGGGGCAGCGGGGGUGCAGGCUUGCCUGCACCUGCCGGCGACCGGCGCACGGGUGAGUAACACGUAUGGAACCUGCCCGCCAC